This is a long non-coding RNA of Pan troglodytes (chimpanzee), 385 nucleotides long. RefSeq lists it as uncharacterized. The record is from RefSeq and is a predicted model, not a curated record. The transcript is spliced from 2 exons. NCBI's taxonomy places the organism in Eukaryota, Metazoa, Chordata, Mammalia, Primates, Hominidae.
CGAGGCCGAGUCCGGGAGGUCCAUCUCUUUCUCCUCCUCCGCUGCCUGAAACAGGCAAGAACAGAGUGGUCUGCACUAGUCACCAGAUGAGAAAACUGAGGCUCAGGGACACUGAGAAACUGGGCCACUGUCACACAGCCAGUGAACCUAAGUCACAACAAAUGGCCACAGCCCACAGGUCUCACAAAGGUGUGAAUCUGAACAGGUGCACAAUAUCCAGCUGUGACAGGACAGUGGCUUCUUACAGCAGCUGAUUUCUGCCCGACUUCUGAUGUUUCUCCAGGAAAAAAGAGGAAACAGGGAUUUUUUUUUUCUGGGAAAUUGCCUCAUUGACAAAUGUCAGCAAUCAAUACUUUUUUCCAAAAUAUCAUGGAGGCCAAGAGUA